UUCUUCAUCAGACUUCAGAUCUUUUUUUCCCCCCUCUCCUUUUAUUUUCUUUUAAUGGAUCCAAUCAUCGAAUAUAUCCAACAAAAAGAAUCUUAAACAAACUUUUUGUCCUUUUUGUAUUCUCAAUUAUAAUCCUACAAAUUGGUUAGUCUGAACACCAAGAAAUGAAGCAAGGUGGAAGAAAAAUAUUUCGCACCUCCAUAUUUAUUUCUAAAGAAUCCUCAGUAUUAUAAUGGUGAAUUUACAAAUCCUAAAUCAUAGGCCUUAACUAAAAGCCCCCAUACGUGGACGGGGAAUUGGUCCGCCAAUCUUAAAUUAGGUGCUCGUAAACCAGCCCGGACAUAUGAAUCAUCGAAAAAUAAUGUUAAAUUUACUUGGUAAAAGACAUAUUUUGGAAAAAAGAGAAAGAAAACAAAAGAGCACAGGCAGGCCCAAACCAAGAGUUCAGCGGUUAUGGGUUGAGCUAAAAAACGUAUCGGCCCAGUUUGUUCGCGCAAAUCAGGGCUUCAAGUUUGCAAGCCCUAGACCUAUAUAAACAGCAAAUGAGCUCACCUCCUCCGAUUCUCACAAAAGAUCACGUUUCAUCCGAAGCAUUUCCUGCGCACCGCGACGUUCAAGGGAGAGAAAGUUGAAGAAAGCUCCGUGUCACGAUGAGGGCUAAGUGGAAGAAGAAGCGUAUGAGGAGGCUGAAAAGGAAGCGCCGAAAGAUGAGACAGAGAUCCAAGUAGACGCUGCAUUUCAAAAAUGUUAGGUGCUUCUCCUGAAAUGCUUUCAUUGCUGUCGACAUGGGUUGUGCUGGAGGUGGUGGGGAAUUUGAAGGGGAAGCUUGCAUUGUCUAGUGCAGUUUCUAAAUCUAGGUUGGGUUUUGUUGCAUCGCUAAGAGUUUAAAAUCGAACACUAAUAAGUUAACUUAUUUCUUGUAACCGUACUAUUUUCUAUCUUCAGCUGGAUGACUUUUUGUCUUAGAUACUUUAAUUUGAACUCUAUAUUGAUUGCUUUUGAUGAAUGUGAGUGGUAACCAUUUGGACA
Rhododendron vialii is the source of this 1029-nucleotide long non-coding RNA. RefSeq lists it as uncharacterized. The transcript is spliced from 2 exons. NCBI's taxonomy places the organism in Eukaryota, Viridiplantae, Streptophyta, Magnoliopsida, Ericales, Ericaceae. The record is from RefSeq and is a predicted model, not a curated record.